RNAcentral lists this long non-coding RNA (214 nucleotides) under Nicotiana benthamiana. Its description in RNAcentral is "long non-coding RNA (NBEN_LNC000450)". The record is from RNAcentral. Lineage: Eukaryota; Viridiplantae; Streptophyta; Magnoliopsida; Solanales; Solanaceae.
AUUAUUGUAGUCGAAUAGGACAUAUUGCUUCUGCUUGUUUUACUAGACACAGACACUUCACCACAUGUCAACCACACCACCACGUUACACCUAACUCACAAGGACCCAAAACAACUUGGGAUCAAGUGUACCAAAAACUCAUUAAUUUGACUUGUCGGUGUGUUUGAAGGGAUCAAGUGUACUUUGGUACCUUGAUAGUGGAUGCUCCAAACAU